Centruroides sculpturatus (bark scorpion) is the source of this 1277-nucleotide RNA transcript. RefSeq lists it as uncharacterized. NCBI's taxonomy places the organism in Eukaryota, Metazoa, Arthropoda, Arachnida, Scorpiones, Buthidae. The record is from RefSeq and is a predicted model, not a curated record. The transcript has 3 exons.
CGAUUCGCGCCUAUCCGUUUAGAUAACAAUGGAUAAAUAUCCCGGUUUUACCUCCGUGGAAAUAAUAGAAAAUGACAAUUGCACGAUUUUCCAAUUGUAAGAUUGAUCUUCGUUCGUUUAUUUUAGAUACUCGUACGCUCGAAUAAGGAACAAAUAAUCGGAAUAUUUAUUUUCACGUAACAGAGGAUGUUGCUAAGUCGAAAUCGAGAUAUUUAUCAAAAAAAGCCUACGAUUCGUCAUUAUUCAAUAAACGGGACAGAAGUAAAUGAAAGACGAAGGCAAAAACCCGACGAAAAGACAAAGAGGGAGGGAAUCGGAAGAUUUUCCGCCACUCUUUUGGAACGAAUCCGGCAGUUGGCCCGUCCCAAAACCGCCGUGGCUUCCGGUCCGGGUAGGCAUCCUUCCCGUCCGGUUCGAGUGUUUCCUCUCCCUCCUCCGGAACCGCAAAUUUGGUGGCCGAAAUUGAAACGGAUCGAGCUUUCCCGACCCACGGCAGUGUCUUACGCGCAACCGCCAAAAGAAGAGUGAAACGAGACUGGUGGUCUUUCCUCCCGCCAAGAAAGCCGCCGCACGAAGAAAGUACGUCACGAGAACACGGAAUUCGGCACCGGGCGAACAGAAAAAUGCCGGAAGAAAAGGGCAGAGAGAGAGGAUACAAAAACCCGGAAGAGAAACCGAAAAUACAAAAGCGGAAGAGAAAACGGAAAAAGAGCCGCCGAAGGAAAAUACCAAUCGGAAAUCCUUCGUCCGAUUCGAGGAAGAAGAAAAAACGAUAAUGAAAUUUCUGGGACGAAAAGAUUCUUUCAUCGAGCUGCAGAAGAGACCCGUGUUUAUGGAUCACCGCUUCGAUUACCGAGACGAAGAAGAGAGGAGAAACAGAUCGGAGGAGGAGAUCGAAUUUCUGGAGAGACUCUCGUACAAAUUAGUGAGUCGGGUGAUAGAUAUGUGCCGCCAGAUGGUGGGUUGGAAAAAAUCGGUGGGCACCUCCUUUUCAAUAGAAAAUCCCGUCCAAAUUUAGAGUUGGAAACAACAAAAGCUUUUAGAACAAGAGAGAAAGAAACCGUCAAAGGCAUCUCGAACCGAAGUCAAAUGUAUCGAAAUGAUCGUCGUCAGUCUUCAAAAUAUUAAAAUAUAUUUUUGUAUUUCUCGCAUCUUCGCGUGUAAUUUCCGCGAAUUUCUCCAUCCGUUGCAUAAUUUCUUACUUCAAGUUUUCCAGAGAAGUUCUUCAACGCCUCCUUCUUAGAACGGAUACUGUACUUUAUCGCAUCGUAGAUUCC